Molecule: ribosomal RNA, 896 nt
Filed under: Cosmospora stilbosporae
Lineage: Eukaryota; Fungi; Ascomycota; Sordariomycetes; Hypocreales; Nectriaceae
Description: LSU rRNA
Rfam family: Eukaryotic large subunit ribosomal RNA
Source: RNAcentral
GAGCAUAUCAAUAAGCGGAGGAAAAGAAACCAACAGGGAUUGCCCCAGUAACGGCGAGUGAAGCGGCAACAGCUCAAAUUUGAAAUCUGGCCCUCGGGUCCGAGUUGUAAUUUGUAGAGGAUGCUUUUGGUGAGGUGCCUUCCGAGUUCCCUGGAACGGGACGCCAUAGAGGGUGAGAGCCCCGUCUGGUUGGACACCGAGCCUCUGUAAAGCUCCUUCGACGAGUCGAGUAGUUUGGGAAUGCUGCUCUAAAUGGGAGGUAUAUGUCUUCUAAAGCUAAAUACCGGCCAGAGACCGAUAGCGCACAAGUAGAGUGAUCGAAAGAUGAAAAGCACUUUGAAAAGAGGGUUAAAUAGUACGUGAAAUUGUUGAAAGGGAAGCGCUUGUGACCAGACUUGAGCCCGGUUAAUCAUCCAGCCUUCUGGCUGGUGCACUUGGCCGGCUCAGGCCAGCAUCAGUUCGGCGCGGGGGAUAAAGGCUUCGGGAAUGUGGCUCCUCCGGGAGUGUUAUAGCCCGUUGUGUAAUACCCUGUACUGGACUGAGGUUCGCGCAUCUGCAAGGAUGCUGGCGUAAUGGUCAUCAGCGACCCGUCUUGAAACACGGACCAAGGAGUCGUCCUCGUAUGCGAGUGUUCGGGUGUCAAACCCCUACGCGUAAUGAAAGUGAACGCAGGUGAGAGCUUCGGCGCAUCAUCGACCGAUCCUGAUGUUCUCGGACGGAUUUGAGUAAGAGCAUACGGGGCCGGACCCGAAAGAAGGUGAACUAUGCCUGUAUAGGGUGAAGCCAGAGGAAACUCUGGUGGAGGCUCGCAGCGGUUCUGACGUGCAAAUCGAUCGUCAAAUAUGGGCAUGGGGGCGAAAGACUAAUUAAACCUUCUAGUAGCUGGUUUCCGCGAG